AGUAUAAGUAUAUAUACUCUUUUGAUCUCAUUAGGGAAAUUUGGUCUCUGCAUUUAUCCCUAUCCGUGAUUUAGUGAAACUCACUCAGCACACGGUGAACACACAGUGAGGU
Alosa sapidissima (American shad) is the source of this 112-nucleotide long non-coding RNA. RefSeq lists it as uncharacterized. The transcript has 3 exons. The record is from RefSeq and is a predicted model, not a curated record. NCBI's taxonomy places the organism in Eukaryota, Metazoa, Chordata, Actinopteri, Clupeiformes, Clupeidae.